UGCGGAGGAUCAUUACUGAGUUAGGGUCUCAUCUCGAGCCCGAACCUCCAACCCUUUGUAUAAAACACUUUGUUGCUUUGGCAGGCCCGUCUGAAAAUCCUUUAACCGGGAUCGACGACCGCCGGGGGCGUUUAGUCACCUCUGGCCAGUGCUUGCCGAUAGCCUAUUCAAAAUUCUUUAUUAAAUCAUGUCUGAAAAAUUAUAACUAAAUAUAAUUAAAACUUUUAACAACGGAUCUCUUGGUUCUGGCAUCGAUGAAGAACGCAGCGAAAUGCGAUAAGUAAUGUGAAUUGCAGAAUUCAGUGAAUCAUCGAAUCUUUGAACGCACAUUGCGCCCUUUGGUAUUCCGAAGGGCAUGCCUGUUCGAGCGUCAUUAUCAACCCUCAAGCUCGGCUUGUUAUUGGGCUCUUAUCGUUACAGAUAGGCCCGAAAGAUAAUGGCGGCGUCAUAAAUGACCCCAGAUGCAGCGAGCUUAUAGCAUACAUCGAAAGGUUUUUAUGGCCCGGCCUUAACGAGAAGCAAUUCUCAAUUUAUUUAAAGGUUGACCUCGGAUCAGGUAGGAAUACCCGCUGAACUUAAGCAUAUCAAUAAGCGGAGGAAAAGAAACCAACAGGGAUUACCUUAGUAACGGCGAGUGAAGCGGUAAUAGCUCAAAUUUGAAAUCUGGCUCUAGGGUCCGAGUUGUAAUUUGUAGAGGAUGUUUCGGGUGCGCCCGCAGUUUAAGUUCCUUGGAACAGGACGUCAUAGAGGGUGAGAAUCCCGUCUUGAACUGUACGGCAAGUCCAUGUGAAACUCCUUCGACGAGUCGAGUUGUUUGGGAAUGCAGCUCAAAAUGGGAGGUAAAUUUCUUCUAAAGCUAAAUAUUGGCCAGAGACCGAUAGCGCACAAGUAGAGUGAUCGAAAGAUGAAAAGCACUUUGAAAAGAGAGUUAAACAGUAUGUGAAAUUGUUAAAAGGGAAGCGUUUGCAACCAGACUUGUUUCUAACAGUUCUACCGCAGUUCUCUGUGGCUUAUUCUGUUAGUCCAGGCCAGCAUCAGUUUGGGUGGCUCGUUAAAGACUUUGGGAAUGUAUCUACUCCUUCGGGUGUAGACUUAUAGCCCAUUGUGUAAUAGGGUCUACCUGGACUGAGGUACGCGCAU
This 1140-nucleotide ribosomal RNA is filed under the name Phaeomoniella sp. 11137. RNAcentral's name for it is "eukaryotic LSU rRNA". The stretch from base 543 to 1140 matches the Rfam family "Eukaryotic large subunit ribosomal RNA", at positions 1 to 607 of the family's 3401-position model. Lineage: Eukaryota; Fungi; Ascomycota; Eurotiomycetes; Phaeomoniellales; Phaeomoniellaceae. The record is from RNAcentral.